Molecule: long non-coding RNA, 1199 nt
Organism: Spinacia oleracea (spinach)
Lineage: Eukaryota; Viridiplantae; Streptophyta; Magnoliopsida; Caryophyllales; Amaranthaceae
Exons: 4
Source: RefSeq, a predicted model, not a curated record
CAUUUUAAUUCAUCAAUUAAGAUAAUUUAUUUGGUCUAUUUCCAGUGAUUUUGAAUUUAGGGUUCUUAUUUUUAUCUCUUUUCUAAUUCAAUUUCAUUAAUGUUUUGUUUUAUAGCGUUGUGAUUUUAAGGUUUCUGAGAUUUUAAGCUUGUAACAUUUUCCUACUUCAUUUAUUUUUGUUUGGGUGCAGGUAUUGGGGAAUCUAAUUGGCAAUGUCAGUGAGAAAAGCGACGAGGAUAAUGCUUCUCUUAAAACUUUGCGAGAUGCAAGUAUGAAAACAAGGAUGGUAAAGGAAGCAUAUGACAUCGAGAAGCAUCAUAUAUAGUGGAUAGAAGGCUAUGCAGAUAUAUGUUCAACAAAUGGCAUGCCCAAUAAUGAUGGACGGGUAACUAUGAGAAGGUUAUGGAAUUGUACAAUGUCCCGAGGCUUAGCCGUAACUCCUUUCCUCUUCUAACUCCCCCAAGAUCUGAAAAUGAUAAUAGCACUAUCGGUUUUGGAGUUGCGGGAAGCAAUUCAGACGGACUGAAUUCAGAGUGAGUAGUUGAUUGUGUGUGAAAAGGUGAACAAUUUCUCAAUUUUAUUUGUAGAAAUGAAAUUUUUUUGUACCUUCAUUGUUCCUUGUACAGAAUUCUCUGGUUAUAGACCUUAUAGUAGCUUCAAAUUGAUUUAAGAUGGCUGUCACUCUUUUGAAUGCAUAUUUUGUUGUUGGCUUUAUUUUGGCACUCAGUUUUAGUUAUUCACAUUUUUCCUUAGCUAUUUAUAUGAUAUGCCAGAACAUUCGGAGAAAGGAAGUUUUAGUAGGGGGAUUCUGUUUACUGAACAUUUAGCAUCGAUUCUGUUUACUUGAGUGGAAGCCUGGAAGAAGUUGUUGAUGUUAUAUCUUUUGGGUUUUAUCUUCUUUUACUUAUUACAGAGUAUCUGUUAUGAGGAAAGCUGAGUCAAGAUUUUCAUAGGAAUUCGAAUGGAAUUUGAGAGUUGUGUUAGAGCUUGUGCCUUUUUCUCAAUGAAGAGUUUGGAACUUCCUAUAACCCAAUUUGACUGAUAAUACUUCCACUGUCACUGCUACAUACUAGAAUUGUUUUAUCAAUUUAACUAUUCUGUGCACUAAUAUUUGAGAAUCUUCUUUUCCCAUCUUACUAAAGUUGAUAUAUUUUCAUUUUUGGCUUGUGAUUUAGAUGGGCGUGGCCAUCCUAUUUAUG